CAUUUAAUAUGUACUUUCAUGGUGCAUAAUUGGAUUUUUCCAAAAGUGCUCAAUGCAAAAGGUCAAAUUUCAACUGGACUGUUAAAUGAACCAGGGGCAAAAUCGUCCAACUUGUGAAAUAAUUGGAAUUUUUGAGUGGGGAUUUUUGCAACACCUCACAAAUGGCAUUUGAAAUUUGUUGGAAUAUUCACAACAUGCCUAGGCCUUGCGGUUUGAGAAUUGGAUUUGAAAAUGAAUUGGAAAAAUGGACACAUAAGCCAUCACAUGGUGAAAUUGGAAAAUAUUGGGAAUUUGAAAAUAAGGCCUAUACCAACAGCUCCCAAAUGAUAUUUGUGGUUUGCUCAAAGUGUUAAUUUGCUGUUAAGAAGCUUCUAAUGAUCAAGAGCCUAAAAAUCCAAAAUUGCACAUAUAAGCUUCAUUCACUAAUCACAAUUUUUUUGCUUAAUUAUGAUUAUGCUUGGAUUAGUGUUUUCAUAUAUAAGCUAAAUCCAUAACAGAAAGAAAGGGUUAAUUUUUUUUUCACAAAUCACAAUUCAGAAAUCAAAAAGCAAAAGCUCAAAUUCUCUCAUUUUUCCAUUUUUUUCACCAAGAAUCUUUUGCAUUAAUUCACCAAUUCCUAUCAAUCUUUGUGGAUUUUCUUGGUUGAUUUAUGAUCUGCAGGUGAAAUUGAGCUACUGUUGAGCAAGAUAGAGGCGAAAUUGGAGCCAAUUCGUGACUGUUACACAGUAUUUUCUUCCAUGGCAGUUAACAAGACCGAUGGAUUCGAGCGUGCUGGAGCUCAACAAACCGUUCCAUGCGCCUCCUGAACCGAUAUCCUGCAUCUGUUCUUGCAAUUCGAAGCUCGACACGCACCAAAUCCGUCACUGUCAUCAAGAAGGUUAAGGAGUUAAUGAUUAAGGAAUUUGCUCCACAUUAUGGAUUGUGUUACUUGACACAUAUGACUAAUGUAUUUGUUUUGUAGGAUGUUUGGUUCAUGUGAGCCUUGUGCUAUGCACAUCAUCAUUUGUAUAAUUGUACUUUGUUAAUUGAUUCUUAUGUUGUUAUCUGUUUAUGAAUGGGAUGCUGAUUUUAUUGGAUUGUUUCCAGGUACCCUUUAGUCGCUCAGUUCUCUUAAGAACUUGCUUUGCUUUGCUUAAAUAGCAACUUGCAUUGAGACGCACCUCGCCGGUAUUAUACCAGAGCCGAUUCUUCGAGAUUCAUGGAUCAUCUUGAGCAAGAGAAUUGUGAACUCGAGGAGGAUUUUGCCAGACUAAGUACUGUUGAUGGAUUUAUUCCUGGUUAACCGAUCCCGGGCUGGCGUUGGCUAUUGUUCUGGGGCAUAUCAUGAUCAGCCUGAAGAGGAAGCUGCUGCUAUCAUUGAAGAGGAUGCAGAGGAUAUGAGCAAUCUUGUUAUUCCUGGUGGUGUCUGCCACAAUUGGGUCGCUGUGGAUGUUCCUACAGUUAUCCAUAGAUCAGAGUAAAUAUGCUCACUUUGUUUAAAACCCUUCUCCCAUGCCAAAAGGAGAAGUGAUGACAUUGUUGGCAGCAUUUAAUACAAUGAUGUUUUCAUUCAA
Lathyrus oleraceus (garden pea) is the source of this 1553-nucleotide long non-coding RNA. RefSeq lists it as uncharacterized. The record is from RefSeq and is a predicted model, not a curated record. The transcript is spliced from 3 exons. NCBI's taxonomy places the organism in Eukaryota, Viridiplantae, Streptophyta, Magnoliopsida, Fabales, Fabaceae.